This 457-nucleotide ribosomal RNA is filed under the name uncultured bacterium. Its description in RNAcentral is "partial 16S ribosomal RNA". It matches the Rfam family "Bacterial small subunit ribosomal RNA", at positions 338 to 795 of the family's 1533-position model. The record is from RNAcentral.
CCUACGGGUGGCAGCAGUGGGGAAUAUUGCACAAUGGGGGAAACCCUGAUGCAGCGACGCCGCGUGAGUGAAGAAGCGUUUCGGCGCGUAAAGCUCUGUCAGCGGGGAAGAAACACGGUUCGCGAGAGCCGCGGACGGUACCCGACCAAGAAGCCCCGGCUAACUCCGUGCCAGCAGCCGCGGUAAUACGGAGGAUGCGAGCGUUAUCCGGAUUUAUUGGGUUUAAAGGGUGCGUAGGCGGAAGGUUAAGUCAGCGGUCAAAUGUCGGUGCUCAACACCGGCCUGCCGUUGAAACUGGUCUUCUUGAGUGAGCGAGAAGUAUGCGGAAUGCGUGGUGUAGCGGUGAAAUGCAUAGAUAUCACGCAGAACUCCGAUUGCGAAGGCAGCAUACCGGCGCUCAACUGACGCUGAGGCACGAAAGCGUGGGGAUCGAACAGGAUUAGAUACCCGAGUAGUC